GAGGCAUUGGUCUUCCCAGGGAAGACAAGAUGUGUGCCAUGGCAGUCUCAUAUGAGGGAAAAUCAGUCUUCAUGAAUCAAGUCAGUAAAGAGGAAGGUGGAAAGAAGGAAGCUGCAUUUUAUUUCAUAUUUAACAGCAGGAUUGCUGAAAACAUAAAUAUUUUAAUUUUUAGGCACACAUUUUAAAGAAAAAAAGUAGUUAAUCUCCCGAGGAAACAAGAAAUAUUCUGUAUGGGUUUUCCCUCUUCAUUCUCUUUGCCCUUCCUGUCAAGGAACUGCAUACCAACCUGCUUCUGGCCCAUUGUGCCCUCAUCCCUCCUGACUAUACUCUCAUUUUUAUGACCCAAACAGCAGUCCCAAAAGCUCCUUUCUCAGGGGCUUGUGACAUGUAUCUGGGCUGUGACUCACCUGCAGCACUCCGGGCAUCGUGUUGGUUGGUGACAGUAAGGACACCCUGUCUUACAGCAAGCAGAGCCUAACUGAGGAACUCGUGAUGUGAGCCCUAGGCAGGAGCUGGACGUGGGCAGCAGCAGCAGGAGCAGCCUGGUGUGGAGCUUCCUGGAGAACACCCACAGUUUUACAAAGCAAUAGCACACCUCAGAAGAGAUGCUUGAUUUCAAGAAAGAAAACUAUCCACGGCAGGUUGAAGCCACAGGGGCAGUCCUGACUUGCCUUUCUCCAUCCAACUACUUUACUUCAGAAAGUGUCCCUUCAAAAAACAGCAACUCCCAGGGAUCAGUGCCUAACACGACCAAAGAUCUGAAGAUGAACAGAAGUGACUUGAACAGAAGAGAAGAAAGAACAGAGUGAUUUGGAUUAAAUAAUCCAGUAUUCAGUAACAGUCAUCUGUGCACUUAAUGGGAUAGGUGUCUUAUCAAAAACAGAA
Molecule: long non-coding RNA, 885 nt
Filed under: Cyanistes caeruleus (blue tit)
Lineage: Eukaryota; Metazoa; Chordata; Aves; Passeriformes; Paridae
Description: lncRNA (ENSCCEG00000011779.1)
Source: RNAcentral